This 22806-nucleotide long non-coding RNA is filed under the name Triticum aestivum (bread wheat). RNAcentral's name for it is "long non-coding RNA (TAES_LNC004848)". The record is from RNAcentral. Lineage: Eukaryota; Viridiplantae; Streptophyta; Magnoliopsida; Poales; Poaceae.
UUCGUUCCAAAAAUCACGUUCCCGAAGGUUUCAUUCCGUUUGGACUCCGUUUGAUAUUCUUUUCUGCGAAACUCUGAAAUAGGCAAAAAACAUCAAUUCUGGGUUGGGCCUCCGGUUAAUAGGUUAGUCCCAAAAUAGUAUAAAAGUGUAUAAUAAAGCCCAUUAAUGUCCAAAACAGAAUAUAAUAUAACAUGGAACAAUAAAAAAUUAUAGAUACGUUGGAGACGUAUCAAGCAUCCCCAAGCUUAAUUCUUGCUCGUCCUCGAGUAGGUAAAUGAUAAAAAACAGAAUUUUUGAUGUGGAAUGCUACUUGGCAUAAUUUCAAUGUAAUUCUCUUAAUUGUGGUAUGAAUAUUCAGAUCCGAAAGUUUCAAGACAAAAUUUUAAUAUUGACAUAAAAAUAAUAAUACUUCAAGCAUACUAACUAAGCAAUUAUGUCUUCUCAAAAUAACAUGGCCAAAAGAAAGUUAUCCCUACAAAAUCAUAUAGUCUGGCUAUGCUCUAUCUUCACCACACAAAGUAUUUAAAUCAUGCACAACCCCGAUGACAAGCCAAGCAAUUGUUUCAUAAUUUUGAUGUUCUCAAACUUUUUCAAUCUUCACGCAAUACAUGAGCGUGAGCCAUGGACAUAGCACUAUACGUGGAAUAGAAUGGUGGUUGUGGAGAAGACAAAAAGGAGAAGAUAGUCUUGUUGGGAAUCGUAGCAUAAUUUAAAAAUUUUCUACGCUCACCAAGAUGCAUCUAUGGAGUCUACUAGCAACGAGGGGAAAGGAGUGCAUCUACAUACCCUUGUAGAUCGCGAGCGGAAGCGUUCCAAUGAACGUGGAUGACGGAGUCGUACUCGCCGUGAUCCAAAUCACCGAUGACCGAGUGCCGAACGGACGGCACCUCCGCGUUCAACACACGUACGGUGCAGCGACGUCUCCUCCUUCUUGAUCCAGCAAGGGGGAAGGAGAGGUUGAUGGAGAUCCAGCAGCACGACGGCGUGGUGGUGGAUGUAGCGUGUCUCGGCAGGGCUUUGCCAAGCUUCUGCGAGAGAGAGAGAGGUGUUGCAGGGGAGGAGGGAGGCGCCCAAGGCUGUAGGUUGCUGCCCUCCCUCCCCCCCUUUAUAUAGGCCCCCUGGGGGGCGCCGGCCCAGGGAGAUGGGAUCUCCAAGGGGGGGCGGCGGCCAAAGAGGGGGAAGGGUUGCCUUGCCCCCCAAGGCAAGGGGGAAGCUCCCCCCCUAGGGUUCCCAACCCUAGGCGCAUGGGGGAGGCCCAAGGGGGGGCGCCCCAGCCCACUAAGGGCUGGUUCCCUUCCACUUUCAGCCCACGGGGCCCUCCGGGAUAGGUGGCCCCACCCGGUGGAUCCCCGGGACCCUUCCGGUGGUCCCGGUACAAUACCGGUAACCCCCGAAACUUUCCCGGUGGCCGAAACUUGACUUCCUAUAUAUAAUUCUUCACCUCCGGACCAUUCCGGAACCUCUCGUGACAUCCGGGAUCUCAUCCGGGACUCCGAACAACUUUCGGGUUUCCGCAUACAUAUAUCUCUACAACCCUAGCGUCACCGAACCUUAAGUGUGUAGACCCUACGGGUUCGGGAGACAUGCAGACAUGAUCGAGACGCCUCUCCGGUCAAUAACCAACAGCGGGAUCUGGAUACCCAUGUUGGCUCCCACAUGUUCCACGAUGAUCUCAUCGAAUGAACCACGAUAUCGAGGAUUCAAUCAAUCCCGUAUACAAUUCCCUUUGUCAAUCGGUAUGUUACUUGCCCGAGAUUCGAUCGUCGGUAUCCCAAUACCUUGUUCAAUCUCGUUACCGGCAAGUCUCUUUACUCGUACCGCAAUGCAUGAUCCCGUGACCAACGCCUUAGUCACAUUGAGCUCAUUAUGAUGAUGCAUUACCGAGUGGGCCCAGAGAUACCUCUCCGUCACACGGAGUGACAAAUCCCAGUCUCGAUCCGUGCCAACCCAACAGACACUUUCGGAGAUACCCGUAGUGCACCUUUAUAGUCACCCAGUUACGUUGUGACGUUUGGCACACCCAAAGUACUCCUACGGUAUCCGGGAGUUGCACGAUCUCAUGGUCUAAGGAAAAGAUACUUGACAUUGGAAAAGCUCUAGCAAACGAAACUACACGAUCUUUUAUGCUAUGCUUAGGAUUGGGUCUUGUCCAUCACAUCAUUCUCCUAAUGAUGUGAUCCCGUUAUCAAUGACAUCCAAUGUCCAUAGUCAGGAAACCAUGACUAUCUGUUGAUCAACGAGCUAGUCAACUAGAGGCUUACUAGGGACACGUUGUGGUCUAUGUAUUCACACAUGUAUUACGAUUUCCGGACAAUACAAUUAUAGCAUGAACAAUAGACAAUUACCAUGAACAAAGAAAUAUAAUAAUAACCAUUUAUUAUUGCCUCUAGGGCAUAUUUCCAACAAGUCUCACAUCAACUAGGCGUAUCAACGGGCUAUGGAGAUACCCAUUAAUAGAUAUCAAUGUGAGUGAGUAGGGAUUGCCAUGCAACGGAUGCACUAGAGCUAUAAGUAUAUGCAAGCUCAACAAAAGAAACUAAGUUGGUGUGCAUCCAACUCGCUUGCUCACGAAGACCUAGGGCAUUUUGAGGAAGCCCAUCAUUGGAAUAUACAAGCCAAGUUCUAUAAUGAAAAUUUCCCACUAGUAUAUGAAAUUAAUAUCAUCGGAGACUCUCUAUCAUGAAGAUCAUGGUGCUACUUUGAAGCACAAGUGUGGUAAAAGGAUAGUAACAUUGUCCCUUCUCUCUUUUUCUCUCAUUUUUUUAUUUGGGACUUUUCUUUUUUUAUGUCGUCUUUUCUUUUUAUUUAGUCCAAAGUCUCAUCCCGACUUGUGGGGGAAUCAUAGUCUCCAUCAUCCUUUCCUCACUUGGGACAAUGCUCUAAAAAUGAUGAUCAUCACACUUCUAUUUACUUACAACUCAACAAUUACAACUCAAUACUUAGAACAAAAUAUGACUCUAUGUGAAUGCCUCCGGCGGUGUACCGGGAUAUGAAAUGAAUCAAGAGUGACAUGUAUGAAAGAAUUAUGAACGGUGGCUUUACCACAAAUACAAUUUCAACUACAUGAUCAUGCAAAGCAAUAUGACAAUGAUGGAGCAUGUCAUAGUAAACGGAACGGUGGAAAGUUGCAUGGCAAUAUAUCUCGGAAUGGCUAUGGAAAUGCCAUGAUAGGUAGGUAUGGUGACUGUUUUGAGGAAGGUAUAUGGUGGGUGUAUGAUACCGGCGAAAAGUGCGCGGUAUUAGAGAGGCUAGCAAUGGUGGAAGGAAGAAAAGUGUGUAUAAUCCAUGGACUCAACAUUAGUCAUAAAGAACUCAUAUACUUAUUGCAAAAAUCUACAAGUUAUCAAAGCAAAGUAUUACGCGCAUGCUCCUAGGGGGAUAGAUUGGUAGGAAAAGACCAUCGCUCGUCCCCGACCGCCACUCAUAAGGAAGACAAUCAAUAAAUAAAUCAUGCUUCGACUUCAUCACAUAACGGUUCACCAUACGUGCAUGCUAUGGGAAUCACAAACUUUAACACAAGUAUUUCUCAAAUUCACAACUACUCAACUAGCAUGACUCUAAUAUCGUCAUCUCCAUAUCUCAAAACAAUUAUCAAGUAUCAAACUUCUCAUAGUAUUCAACACACUCAUAAGAAUUUUUUUACUAAUCUUGAAUGCCUAUCAUAAUUAAAGCAAAUUACCAUGCUAUUUUGUAGGACUCUCAAAAUAAUCUAAGUGAAGCAUGAGAGAACAAUAGUUUCUAUAAAACAAAUCCACCACCGUGCUCUAAAAGAUAUAGAGCAAAAACUAUAUAACUCAAAAGAUAUAAGUGAAGCACAUAGAGUAUUCUAACCAUUUUAAUCAUGUGUGUCUCUCUCAAAAGGUGUGUACACCAAGGAUGAUUGUGGCAAACUAACAAACAAAGACUCAAAUAAUACAAGACGCUCCAAGAAAAACACAUAUCAUGUGGUGAAUAAAAAUAUAGCUCCAAGUAAAGUUACCGAUGGAAGUAGACGAAAGAGGGGAUGCCUUCCGGGGCAUCCCAAGCUUUGGCUUUUAGGUGUCCUUAGAUUAUCUUGGGGUGCCAUGGGCAUCCCCAAACUUAGGCUCUUGCCACUCCUUGUUCCAUAAUCCAUCAAAUCUUUCACCCAAAACUUGAAAACUUCACAACACAAAACUUAACAGAAAAUCUCGUGAGCUCCGUUAGCGAAAGAAAACAAAACACCACUUCAAGGUACUAUAAUGAACUCAUUCUUUACUUAUAUUGGUGUUAAACCUACUGUAUUCCCACUUCUCUCUGAUUUAUAAACUAUUUUACUAGCCAUAGAUUCAUCAAAAUAAGCAAACAACACAUGAAAAACAGAAUCUGUCAAAAACAGAACAGUCUAUAGUAAUCUGUAACUAACGCAAACUUCUGGAACUCAAAAAAUUCAGCCAAAAUAGGACGACCUAGACAAUUUGUUUAUUGAUCAGCAGAAAUUGGAAUAAAUAUUUUAUCACAUUCUGGUGAUUUUUAACAAUUAUUUUCGUGAACAGAAAGUUUCUGGAAUUUUCAGCAAGAUCAAAUAACUAUCAUCCAAGGAGAUCUUAUAGCUUAAACUUGGCACAAACACUAAUUAAAACAUAAAAACACAUCUAACCAGAGGCUAGAUCAAAUAUUUAUUCCUAAGCAGAAGCAAAAAGCAAAAAACUAAAAAUAAAAUUGGGUUGCCUCCCAACAAGCGCUAUCGUUUAACGCCCCUAGCUAGGCAUAAUAGCAAGGAUAGAUCUAGGUACUGCCAUCUUUGAUAGGCAAUCCAUAAGUGGCUUGUUGAGGAUAUGGACCUUAGAGUCACCCGCCAGGAGGGGCCGGGUUACUCAUAUGGUCGUUGCCAGAAGCCCGGAGCCAAGCUUGAAGACGAUGGGCCAGAGAUGGGCUUAAGACCCGGAUAUGGCUUAAGGCCCGUAGUUACAAUGCUUAUUAUGGUAGAACUUGUAGUGUAAGGCAAGAAUAGUUAAGAGUCUGAGCCGGACACUCUUAUGAGCCGGCCGGGACUCUGAGAACUGCUGGGCGUCAGCCUCCCUAUAUAAAGGGACGACCCGGUAGCGGUUUAGGGACAAGAACGACCUCGACGAAAGCCAGGCAUAGCAGUUAAGCUCCUUGGUCAUCGAAACCCUAAUCAAUACCACCGCAAACUGGACGUAGGCUUUUACCUUCACCGUAAGGGGCCGAACCAGUAUAAACCCUCGUAUUCCUUGUCCCACUUAACCCCUUCAAGCUUCCUAGUAGCGAUGGCUCCACGAUUAAGUCCUAGCUCGAGGACAUCUGCCGUGACAAUUCCACGACAGUUGGCGCCCACCGUGGGGCCAGCGCACGGUGGAUUUGAGUUCUUGAAGGGCAGCUUCGAAGGGCUCAAGGGAUACGCUGUGGGCCGGAUGACCAAGAGUCGUCGCGGCAAGCUUUACAUCGACGAUGCAGACUGGGGCCCCGAUGCCGGCUCAAUUGAGUACGGGUACCGGGUCCCCUUCGGCGGAAUUCAUGUUUUCAUCGGCAAGGUUGGUGAGCCGGGCCCUGAGCCGGAUCUCUGCACCGAUCUCAUCGAGGUGUCUCAGCGCGCACGACCCGCCCGGGCCCGGCCUGCCUUAAGGCAUGCUUUUGUGGGGUGUAUCCACGGAGGACUCUCUGAUCGAUCUGGAUCUGGUGAUGAGACGGCCGCCGGCUCUGACGGCGAGUCGGCCACCGGUGAGUCAAACUCGUUGUAUCAACUUCAAGGUGGCAGGCUCAUGGGUUGUUCUGAUGGUGACAGUAUUCCGGACCUAUUUGAGCCGCCAAGCCGGGUGGGAAUCUUUAUGGCCGAUGCACAGCCUGUUCAGAACCCCGCGGCUGGAGUAGGAAACCCGGUGCCUUCUCUGGCUCAGGUACUGAUGGAUCUCACGGACAAGAUGACGGCCCUGUUAACCGCCACGGUUGACCCGGCGGAUCAAGCUCAGCAUGAUGCGGAGGUGGCACAGUUAAGAUUGGAUCUAGUGAAAGCUAAGGAGGACCUCGCAGCGGAAGGGAUCAGGAUGGCUGCGGAGAGGGCGGCCCUCGAUGCCCAAACUCAGUUGAUCCAGGCGCAGUCCUUCCAACUCACGAUGGAUCAGAACGCGUCCAAUGAGGUCAUGAGAAGGAGGUAUCAAAAGACCCAAUCUCGGCUCCCGCCGGUUUACGAUCCACGCAACCUCUUCAGCACGCCAGGUGCAGGGUCUAGUAACCCGCCAGGGGUCAUAGCGCCCGGGUCUGGGCCCCCUAUUCAGCCACGAGUGAUGGGGCCUCCCCAGGUGCCCCCUGCCACACCUCAGUAUGUGCCAACACCCCCGGUUCAUUAUAAUAACCCGUUGGAGAACAUGGUUGCUGCGGCAGCAUGGCUGGCGGCUCUCCCAGUUGACGGCGACUCUCCGACGGCUAUUGAAACCCGGCGGGUCAGGGAACUCCUUCAGACAGCACUGGCGCAGCAAGAGGCGUACUCCUACAGCCGGGAUAGGAUCCACUCGACCCCUCGUCCGGGCCGGAGCCCGAGUUACAGCAGGCACAUGGUCUCAGCGACCGGCUCAAGCAACGUCCGACGCCAUGACCCGCCCCUGGCCACGGCCCGGUUUAUAACGGGGCCUAUCACGCAGCGGACCAAGACAGAGCGCGGCAAGAGGCGGAGCAGGUGCCUCAAUUGACGGCUUACCAGACCCCCCCGGCUUAUCCGACGACUUCCGUCGACGUGGGUAUCCCUACCAGGACGGGAGGUGUCCCCUGUUUAGUGCCGGCUAUCCGCAAUGAACGUUUACCCAAGGACUUCAAAGGCCCUAGAAAGGUGCCCAACUACACGGCUGACUUACAACCCGCAGCCUGGAUCGAGAGUUAUGAGAUGGCCAUGGAGCUACUGGAGGUCAGUGAGGCGGCAAUGGCCAAGUACUUCACCAUGAUGUUGGAUGGGACUGCCCGCACUUGGUUAAAAGGGCUACCACCAAAUUCCAUUGGGUCUUGGGCUGAGCUGAAAGCCCAUUUCAUCCAAAACUUCAAAGAUACCUGUAGGCAGUCUAUGUCAAUUGUGGAUUUGACUAACUGUAAGCAGCAGGAGGGUGAGUCUAUGACACAUUGGGUUCGCCGGGUUAAAGAGAUCAUACACUCGUCGGACAAGAUGGAUGCCGGCUCAGCAGUCUUAAUGCUGGAGCAAAAUUGUCGUUUUGUGCCCCUGAAGAUGAAACUCGGGCAGCUUAAGUGCGACUGCAGUGACAUGGGUACACUAAUGGCGGCUCUUGUCAAGUACGCCGAUUCUGAUGGUACCAAGGAUCCCCCUUCAGAUGAUGAAAGGACAGGGAAGGGAAAGAAGAAUGGCAAUGGCAAGGGUCCCCAGCAUAACCCGGGGAACCAAGGAGGAGGCAAGCGCAAGGCAGAUGGCAGCCUAGAGUUUGUAGCCAACGCCAGCGCACAAGGCAAUAACCAGCGACGCAAGGGGAGACCCCCUCCCCGAGGCGGCGGGUCAGGACCGACACUGGAGCAGCUGUUGAAUGAGCCUUGUCCAAGGCAUGGCUCUAGAGAGAAGCCAGCGACUCAUCUAUGGAAGGAUUGUGCAAUCAUGAAGGCCUUUAAGAACUACAAUGGCCCAGGCGGCGGCUCAGGCGCCGGCGGUUUUCAUGGCCCGGGCGGUGGCUCAAAUUCUAAUCCUCAGAAUGGUCAAGGGGGCUUUAAUCAGUAGUCUGGCCAGGGUCAUCAGCAGCAGCAGGGAGGUUAUCAGACCAAUCCAAAGCAGCUUAGCGGUGGACAAUAUCAUGUGUUUACCACCAGUCUGUGUAAACGAGAUCAGAAGCUUCAUAAAAGGGCAGUAAAUGCCGUUGAGCCGGCGGUUCCACGCUACUUGCGGUGGUCUGAACAGCCCAUAGUGUGGAGUAGGGAGGAUCACCCUCCCCGGGUGGAUAAUCCGGGUCACUUGGCCUUGGUAGUGGCUCCUCAGGUAGGAGGAUAUAAGUUCACUAAAGUGCUCAUGGAUGGAGGCAGCAGCAUCAACAUCCUCUAUUAUGAGACUUUCCGUCGUAUGGGGUUGAUUGAUAAAAACCUCAGCCAGUCCAACACUAUUUUCCACGGUGUGGUACCGGGUAAGUCGGCUUAUCCAGUCGGCAAGAUUGAAUUGGAAGUGGCCUUUGGAGAUGAGAACAACUACAGGAUGGAGAAAUUGACCUUUGAGGUGGUCAAGAUAAGGAGCCCGUACCAUGCUAUAUUUGGACGGCCGGCUUACGCCAAGUUCAUGGCACGGCCGUGUUAUGUGUGCUUACAGCUCAAGAUGCCGGGUCACAAUGGGACCAUUACGGUUCACGGCAGCCGGAAGGUGGCCUUGGAAUGUGAGGAAGGCGAUGCAGCUUAUGCAGAAUCUGUUUGUGCAACGGAGGAGUUGAAGUUUUACAAAGACAAUGUUGACCCAACAGAUAUGACCUCUCUGAAAAAGCCGACUACGGAAAAUGAGCCGGCGAUGAAAUUUAAGUCGGCUGAUGAAACUAAGCUCGUUGAUUUUGUCCCAGGAGAUUCAUCUCAGCAGUUUAGCAUCAGUGCAAAUCUGGAUCCGAAAUAGGAAGGCGCGCUCAUCGAGUUCAUCCGUGAGAAUAGGGACAUCUUCGCAUGGAAACCUUCUGACAUGCCAGGUGUACCUAGGGAACUCGCUGAGCACACUCUCAAUGUUGAUCCGAAAUUUAAGCCGGUCAGACAGUUCCUUCGGCGGUUUAAUGAAGAGAGGCGGAAAGCCAUUGGUGAAGAGGUGGCUCGGCUCUUGGCGGCCGGGUUUAUUGUUGAAGUCUUCCACCCAGAGUGGUUAGCUAACCCGGUGCUCGUACUCAAGAAGAACGGCACUUGGCGGAUGUGUGUAGACUACACGGACUUGAACAAGGCGUGUCCGGCUGAUCCUUUUGCCCUUCCCCGUAUUGAUCAAAUUAUUGAUGCUAUGGCCGGUUGUGCGCGUUUAAGUUUUCUGGACGCUUAUUCUGGAUAUCAUCAGAUUAAAAUGGUGGUUAAGGACCAGGAGAAGACGGCGUUCAUCACUCCCUUUGGAGCCUUCUGCUAUGUGUCCAUGCCCUUUGGACUCAAGUGUGCACAGGCGACUUAUCAGCGUUGCGUGCAGAACUGUCUUCAUAAACAGAUUGGGCGCAAUGUUCACGCCUAUGUGGACGAUAUUGUGGUUAAGUCCAUAAAGGAGGAAACCCUGAUAGAUGAUUUGAGAGAAACCUUUGAUAAUCUCCGGGUCUACAAGAUGAUGCUUAACCCGGCCAAGUGUGUCUUUGGUGUUCCCGCAGGCAAACUCUUGGGUUUUUUGGUUUCUGACAGAGGCAUUGAAGCUAACCCAGAGAAGAUCAAGGCCAUCACCUCCCUGGCUAAGCCGGCGUGUAUAAAUGACGUUCAGUGCUUGGCGGGUCGCAUCGCUGCAUUAAGCCGGUUUAUAAGCCGUCUGGGUGAGAAGGCCAUGCCAUUAUAUCAGUUGAUGAAAAAGACUGAUAACUUUGUCUGGAAUGAUGCAGCUAAUACAGCCUUCGAGGAUUUGAAGAAGCAGCUGGCAGAGCCUCCAGUCCUUGCUGCUCCGGUUGAUAAGGAGCCCUUAUUAUUAUAUGUAGCGGCGAACACACGAGCCGUCAAUGUGGCUAUUGUGGUGGAGCGCAAGGAGGAGGGUAAGGAGCAUCCGGUUCAGCGGCCGGUUUAUUAUGUCAGCGAGGUGCUCAUUGAGUCCAAGCAGCGGUACCCGCAUUGGCAGAAGCUUGUGUAUGGUGUGUUCAUGGCAAGCCGAAAACUUAAGCAUUAUUUUCAGGGUCAUCCCAUCACUGUCGUCAGUUCUGCCCCUCUUGGUGAUAUCAUUCAAAACAGAGAGGCCACAGGGAGAAUUGCUAAGUGGGCUAUAGAACUUGGACCCCAUGGUCUCAAAUACGUGCCACGCACUGCUGUUAAAUCUCAGGCCUUGGUGGAUUUCAUCAAUGAUUGGACAGAGUCGCAGGUGCCCGAGCGGAAGCCGGAUAACACAUAUUGGACUAUUUACUUUGAUGGGUCCAGGCAGUUGGAGGGCUCGGGGGCCGGAGUCGUGUUAGCUUCUCCUAAAGGUGACAAGUUCCAUUAUGUGCUACAGUUGCUGUUUCCUUGUACUAACAACGCGGCUGAGUACGAGGCCUUGCUCCAUGGUCUUCGGAUGGCUAAAGAGAUGAGCUUAAGCCGGGUAAGGUGCUUCGGCGACUCAGACUUGGUGGCUCAACAAGUAUCAGGGAAGUGGGAUUCCAAGGACCCUCUCAUGGCGGCUUAUCGCCGCGAGGUUGAUGCCAUUGCUGGGCAUUUUCAGGGUUACCAGGUGGAACACAUCGACCGCAGGAAGAACGAGGCGGCGGAUGCUUUAAGCCGGCUAGGCUCUCAGCGAAAGCCGGUGCCGCCUAACACUUUCCUGGACGUCCUGUAUAGCCCUUCUGUUAAGUUGCCUACAGAGGAAGACUUGGCUGUCCCUGACCCGGAGGCACGACUGGUGGCGGCUCUCCAUAUCAUACCAGACUGGACAAUGCCGUAUCUGGCUUACAUGACCCGGGGCGAGUUGCCCGAGGAUGAAACCUUGGCCAGGCAAAUAACCCGGUGGGCUAAGUCAAUGAUUGUUAUCAAUGGGGAAUUGCAUCACCGCAGUGUGACGGGAGCGUUUCAGCGUUGUGUUUCCCCUGAGGAAGGUCAAGAAAUCUUGCGUGAGGUUCAUGAAGGGGAUUGUGGCCAUCACGCCGGCUCAAAGUCUCUUGUGGCCAAGGCUUUUCUUCAUGGUUUCUAUUGGUUGACGGCUCAUGCUGAUGCAGAGGACUUGGUCAGUAAAUGUGAUGGUUGCCAAAGGUUCUCGCGACGGGCUCACAUACCGGCUCAAGAGCUGAGGAUGAUCCCAAUUACUUGGCCCUUUGCGGUCUGGGGGCUUGAUAUGGUUGGGCCUUUCAAAAGGUCCAAGGAUAAGAAGACCCACCUUUUGGUGGCAGUUGACAAGUUUACCAAGUGGGUUGAAGCGGAGCCCGUUAGCAAGUGUGAUGCAGCCACGGCGGUUCAGUUUAUGAAAAAGGUGAUCUUUCGCUUUGGUUUUCCGCACAGUAUUAUCACUGACAAUGGCACCAAUCUCUCCAAAGGCGCCAUGGAAGAAUUUUGUCAACGAGAGCAUAUCCGACUUGAUGUUUCCUCAGUAGCUCAUCCUCAAUCCAAUGGUCAAGCUGAGAGAGCUAAUCAGGAGAUUCUGAAGGGCAUCAAGCCCCGGCUUUUGGUCCCUUUGCAACGAACGCCGGGUUGUUGGGUGGAGGAGUUGCCCUCCGUGUUAUGGAGUAUCAACACUACUCCUAACAGGUCUACGGGCUUCACGCCUUUCUUCAUGGUUUACGGGGCAGAAGCAGUCCUCCCCAGUGACAUCCGUCAUGACUCACCACGAGUGGCGGCUUAUGUUGAGGUGGAUAAUGAGCAGGCGCGCCAAGAUGCUCUUGACUUGCUGGACGAACAGCGUGAUGUGGCAGCAGCCCGUUCAGCGAUUUACCAACAAGACCUGCGCCGUUAUCAUAGCCGCCGGGUUAAAUCCCGGGUCUUUCAGGAAGGGGAUCUGGUGCUCCGGCUUAUCCAAGAUCAAACUGAUACGCACAAACUAUCCCCGCCUUGGGAAGGGCCCUUUGUGGUCAGCAAGAACUUGCACAACGGGUCGUAUUACGUCAUUGACGUCCGGGAGCACAAAGAUUCACGUAAGUCGGAGGAAGAGACCCGUCGGCCGUGGAACAUAGCUCAGCUUCGGCCUUACUACACUUGAGCCACCGGCUUUCAUAAUGUACAUAUUUCUCUCAGCCAUGUAUAUAUUAUGAUAAAGCAAUAAAGCAGGACCGCUGUCCUUUUUCUCCUCCAAAUGUGCAUGUGUUUUCUUUGCAAGAUCAACAUGGUAACUUGAAGGAGGAUCCGGCUCAUGAUCGUAUUCGAAUCUAGCCGCAGGUAAUAAGGUCACUUGGGGGCUUCCUGUUCAAACAUGGGUCGUAUUCGAACCAAAGAGAACAUAGCUGUCGAUACCCAUUUGAUUGGCAAAGUGCCGAGCUCAUUGGGAGGUUUUCUCUGAUCAUAUUUGAAUCAUAGUUUAACCCCUUUGAGAACCAACGUGGAUCGUAUUUGAAUCAGCGUCGUUAAACAAUUCUUAAAAUCACUUGGGGGCUUCCUGUUCAAACAUGGGUCGUAUUCGAACCAAAGAGAACAUAGCUGUCGGUACCCUCUUGAUUGGCAUCGCCACACCCACUGGGGGCUAUAUGAUCGUAUCCGAAUCUUAGCUUAACCCCUUUGGGCCGGGUCUCUGGUCGAAUUCGAACCGGAAGCCCCCAAGUUCUUCUGCUUUAUCACAAGAUUUCUCUGAUUAUGUCAAGGUGUGUACAGCCAGGUCUCGCUUGGCCGGUUUAAAUUUUGAUUUCUAGUGUUGUUUCGGCACAAUAGGUGUCAUUAAAACAGAUACACCAGAGUUAAGGUACCACCCUUCUUACCCGGGUUAUCUAAACCGGAAAGGCGCUGGCAGGCCGCUAAGUGCGUCAUCACGGCUAUAUUAAAGACAUGAUUAAGGGUCAAUCUUUUUGAUUCAUAUCCGGGUUAUAUAUCUAAAACCGAUGAUUCUCAGCGCGGUAAGCCGCCCAGAGACUUGUGAUUUGUCCUUGUAUGCAGGAUAGUUCAAGGCAAUUAUUUGAGACUAAGGAGAAUGAAUGACCCGGAGAAAUAUCAAAGAGACAACUUCAAUAGGCUUCAGCAUUCAAUAUGUGCACGAUGGCACGGCAAAGAUAAACUGUUGCACCUACUCUAUUACAAGACUCAUCGAGUCCAAAAGGGUGGAGCAUUGUUUGGUAAACCGGCUGCAGAAGUUAAGACGCUUGCUGGGUGGAAGUCUCCGGCUCAUCUCUUCCUUCUCCUCCGGCUGUCCCCAAGGUCUGGAAGGUCGACGACUUCCAGUCGAUACCGCUCAGCGCUUCGAAUUGGGCUUCCUCGUCAAUUAACCCGGCCGGGUCAAUCUCCGGGGCAAAGGUGUGCUGACGAGCCGGCGGAAUUAAACUCAGAGCUUCAUAGCGAGGGGUUGGAAUCCUCUGAUUUUCCGCAUUAUAACCCAGCUGGUACUUGGUCAGAUCCGUGUCGUUUCCAAUAAGAGCCGCCACCGGGCGCACGAUCUUCACGCAGGCGGCGAAGUCUUUUUGGUCGAAAGUCGUGCCAUCCUCCUUCAGACUUGGAUAGCCGAGGGCGAUGUCUGCCGGGUCCAGCUCCGGCAGGAAAGCCUUGGCCCGGCUCAGCGCGGCGAUCGCUCCGGAUCUCGCAGAGGCUCGUCACAGCUCUUGGAUACGUUGCGGAAGGACGGCGAGCCGGCGAAGAACCUCCGCCAAGUGAGUCGGCACCUCGUUGGAUAAGGCUACCACAGCUAAGGCACGUUGUGACCCGGUGUAGAGUUGCUCCACCAGGGUGUACACGGCCUUUAGCUUGGUUACCACACUCUGGUUGAGGUUGGCACUUCUGGAACCUGUUUCAUAGAGCAGGACAAGCCGCCGACCAGGGUGAGUUAUGAGGCAUUAAAAUUUAAAUUGAAUAAAAGCCGGUGGAUGACUUACCAAAGAUUGCAGCAACCAUUUGAGACACUUGGCGCUUUAAGCCGGAGAGUUCGGCCGUCUUCUCUGACAGGGCCCUCUCCGCCUGAUCAGCCCGGUUCACCAAUGCGGCCUUUUCUUCGGCCCACGCUUUUCGUUCAGCGUCAAACUCUGUCUUCAGCUUCUCUUGUGAGGCGAUGCUGGACACGAACUUGGCAUUUGCCUUCUGGGUCUCCAUCUCUUGCAUCUUCAGCCGGUUCUUGAGGUCAGCGAGGUCAGCCUCAAGUUUCUUGCCAGCAGCCUGUAUAAAUGUCCGGGUUAUGACAUGCACAGUUGCUAUACAAAUUUAAAGUCCCAAGUGUUUUCCAAGCAAAGACACUUGGCACUUGGGGGCUAAUGCAUGUUCAAUGUUUCUAUUUACCAAUUUCCGGUUCAUGGAAGCAAGCCGGAAGAUAAGUCCCAAGUGUUUUCUAAAGCAAAGACACCUGGCACUUGGGGGCUAAUGUGUAUCGAAGGCUCUUAUCUACAAAUUACCGGUUUAAUUUGUAAAGCCGGAACUUCAGUCUACAGCAUAUUCAAUCAUAAGUUGUUGACUUAAGGGCUAGCAUGGUAAAAGUAACUAGGCAGUAAGUAAGAGGACAGAAGAUAAUACCUCAGAUUUCUGCUGGAUCUGGGUCACCAUGGCAACCUCUGCGUCCCAGCUCUUGUGCACUUGGUUGAUGUAGCCGGAGACAAGCUCUCCGAUGCUCAGGUUGGCAUAGUCAGUUAGAUCCAGACUGACCCGGUGGGGCUGCAGUACUUCCCCCUUGGCAGAGCACUUGGCCAGUGCCGUAGGCCUCCCCGGCUCAACGAAUUCCGUCCGGGUGAUUUCCACGUCCGGUUGAUUUCCACGUCCGGGUCAUUUGUUGGCUGAGCCGAGCCGGAGGCCUCCGGGUCAGCAGAAGCUUCUACAGGUGCCUUGUCGAUUGGAGCGGUGGCUUCGGGGGCGGAGGCAGCUGGCGGUUCUUGAACCGUCACCUCCGGUUCAGGCAAAUCCGGCUCUCCGGCCGACUUGGUUUUCUUCGCCCUCUUGGUGAGCUUUGCCUGGGCACUGAAAGAAUAACAAAGGUUAGUACAAAAAGUAUGAGCAAAGAUCAGAACAACAUGAGAUGGUUAUCAUUACCCGGGCACGGUCUUGAAAGUUGGCAGAUUCGACUGCAUAGAAUCGCCGGAAGAAGGGGAAGUCUCCUGAUAAUUUGAAUCAGAGGAAUUAAGCGGUUGGCGUAUAACACCCGCAAAAGGAUGAAAAGGGUACAAUUUUGUAGUCACUCGGUCCGACGUUUCCUUGAUGCAUCAGGUAACCCGGAGGAGAGGUCAGCGUCCUUGUUGGUCCGGGUAUGCCGCCGGCUUUCAUGAACCUGUCGCUUCAAAAUAAAUUGAGGAUCUUGGUAAGCUAAAGGAUGGGAAAAGCUUACUUUCCGGGUUACUCUUCGGGUUUUCGGCCGUGGCAAGGGCUCCGAGUCGGAGGAAAGUAUUGUUACCUCUUCAACCACCGGGUUACUGGCUCCGGUGUCCUCCUGUUGAUAAACAACAUUGAUAAGGCGGACAGAACUAAAGCAACAAGUAUAACAAGAGCUUACAGGUUUAGGAAUUACCUCAGACUCGGAGCUGUCACUCAGCUGCAACAGCUCCGAAGCAGUGGGCCUACUUCCCUUCUUACGGGGAGCGGCUUUCUUGGCGGCUUUCUUCGCCUUUCUGGCCUUUUUGGCGGCGUCAUGGUCAUACUUGACCCGCCAGAACUUGUCAUCAGCCUGAAAAAUACAAUGAUGAAUUUUUAAAACGGUUCAGAUGAAAGUUAUAUGCAGGAGAAGAUAAAAUGUUAAAGUCAGCGGCUUACCGCUGGGGCUGGGUUGGUCUUGCAGAAGGGGGCUAACCCGGUCCUCCCGCAGUCUGCCAGGCUCUCGUUCAGAAGAGCGUUGGUCAUAUCUUCUGCAACGUCUUCAGGAAGAUCGUUGCGGCUGUGUCUCUGAGGGUCAUCCUUUCGGCCUGUGUACUCGCACAUUAAGCCGUGGCGGCGGCUCAAUGGGAUCACCCGCCACGAUAUCCAGACCCGGACCAGAUCGAUCCCAUUCAGACCAUUGCCCAGGAGAGCCUUGAUCUUGUUGAUGGUGGGGAGCAGAGGUUGGCGCUCCGCUCGAGUCAGCUUGUCUGACAGUGGGUGAGUCGGCUCCAGACGCGAGGGGCGAAAGCCGGGCAACGGACUCUCGUCAGCCGGCGACGUGUCUUGGCAGUAAAACCACGUCAGAUUCCAGUCCUUGGGAUGGCUGGGCGGCUCUGCGUAAGGGAAGAGGCAGUCCCUACGCCGCUGGAUGGAGAUGCCACCUAGCUCCAGACUUGGCCCAUUGGCGCACUCAUUCUGACGGUUCAAGUAAAAAAGCUCUCUGAAGAGCAGCAGACUAGGUUCUUCUCCAAGGUAAACCUCGCAGAAUACUUGGAAGUUGCAGAUGUUGGACACUGAGUUGGGUCCUAUGUCCUGAGGCCGCAAGUCGAAGAAGUUUAGAACGUCUCUAAAAAACUUUGAGCCGGGCGGUGCGAAGCCCCGGCUCAUGUGAUCCGCAAAAAUCACUACCUCCUCGUCCUUUGGCUGGGGUCUCUCUUCUGACGGGUCAGGGGCACGGUAGGACAUGACGUCCUUCUUGGGCAGAUAUCCAGACUUAACAAAAUCUGCUAGUGUCUCACUGGUGACAUUGGACCUCAUCCAGUUGCAAGUGAUGGAGGCUUUGGGAGCUUUGGGAGGCAUGGUGAAAGUCGGCAGUCUAUGACAAAAAGGAAAACGUCCGGAUUAAUUAUAAGCCGGGGGAAAUCUACAGCUCAAAGUCAAGGUGGCGGCUUAUGAAGGAGACUAAUGGUAUAUACCUAAGUACAGCGGGUUAUUUAAGCCGCAGGGGUAUUCAGAAUAAUUUGAUUGUCUACGGCCUUAUCACAGCCAAGCCGGAGGAUUCUACGGAGCAUGAUUUUCUUUAACCCGGAAGGUUCUAUGGCGUGUGGUUUCUUUAAGCCGGAAAUGUAAACUGCCGUGAUUCAAUGGUUGCAGUUUUUUACUAAGUGUGGUAAAACAGGUUUCACACUUUGCAGUAACUAUUUCGGAUCAAAAUGGUCGGGCGAAAGAAACGUUUCUAGACCUAGAAACAGAAGCGAGGGAGUUCUUGGGCUCGAACAAGGCUCCUAUGCAGUAAAAAGAGGGUUGCUUGCAUGUAAAAUGGGUGCUAAACCGUCACCGCAAUAGUUCUAUGCAGGUCUAAGAUCAAAAGGAGGCAGUAAAAAUCAAAUCUACUAAGGCCCGCGAUGAACUACGAGGAACACGGAUGAACUACUCGAACCCUACUGCAGAUCUGUUCUACAGGGCAGAAGAAACUUACAGGGGCUGGUGAGUCGCGGAGGUCGUCGCGUUUCUCUGGUCAAAUCAGGGUGAUGCAGCGGCCUGAGCUGGUGACGACGAGAAGACCCGCGGCGGCGGCAGCAGAGCUUGAGCAGGGGAGCAGUGGCGCGAGGAAGAAGACGAAGAAGAGAGAAGUGGCUGAAAGCCCGUCGGGCCGGCCUAUUUAUAAGGGAGAGCUCAUAAGUGGGCGCGAGAAUCAAGGAGACCACGGCGUGGUUAUCUCCUCACGAGACGCCUCGAUUUUCGGGAUGACAGUAAAUGUAAAGAUCCGUUGCGGAUCUGGCAGAGUAAAAAACGGGCUUAAUGGAAGAUGACGUCACGGCGGAUUAUCCGGAGUCCAGAGGAUGAUGUCACGCCGGGUUAUGGUCUUCACACAAUUGUAAGCCGGCGAUUUUCUGUCGAAGGGAUUGAAGAUUGACAUGAGUCGGCUCAAAUCAAUCUGGGGCCUAAUGUUGAGGAUAUGGACCUUAGAGUCACCCGCCAGGAGGGGCCGGGUUACUCAUAUGGUCGUUGCCAGAAGCCCGGAGCCAAGCUUGAAGACGAUGGGCCAGAGAUCGGCUUAAGACCCGGAUAUGGCUUAAGGCCCGUAGUUACAAUGCUUAUUAUGGUAGAACUUGUAGUGUAAGGCAAGAAUAGUUAAGAGUCCGAGCCAGACACUCUUAUGAGCCGGCCGGGACUCUGAGAACUGCUGGGCGUCAGCUUCCCUAUAUAAAGGGAUGACCCGGUAGCGGUUUAGGGACAAGAACGACCUCGACGAAAGCCAGGCAUAGCAGUUAAGCUCCCUGGUCAUCGAAACCCUAAUCAAUACCACCGCAAACUGGACGUAGGCUUUUACCUUCACCGUAAGGGGCCGAACCAGUAUAAACCCUCGUAUUCCUUGUCCCACUUAACCCCUUCAAGCUUCCUAGUAGCGAUGGCUCCACGACUAAGUCCUAGCUCGAGGACAUCUGCCGUGACAAUUCCACGACAUGGCUCUCAUAAUAGAUUCAUAAGGUAAUUUUAUCUUCUUUCUAGGGAAGUGUUCCAUGCCUUUCCUUAACGGAAAUUGGAAUCUAAUAUUCCCUUCCUUCAUAUCAAUAAUUGCACCAAUCGUUCUAAGGAAAGGUCUACCAAGAAUAAUAGGACAUGAAGGAUUGCAAUCUAUAUCAAGAACAAUAAAAUCUAUAGGCACAUAAUUCCUAUUUGCAAUAAUAAGAACAUCAUUAAUUCUUCCCAUAGGUUUCUUAAUGGUGGAAUCCGCAAGGUGCAAGUUUAGAGAGCAAUCAUCAAAAUCACGGAAACCUAGCAAAUCACACAAAGUUUUUGGAAUCGUGGAAACACUAGCACCCAAAUUACACAAAGCAUAGCAUUCAUGAUUUUUAAUUUUAAUUUUAAUAGUAGGUUCCCAUUCAUCAUAAAGUUUUCUAGGGAUAGAAACUUCCAACACAAGUUUUUCUUCAUAAGAUUGCAUUAAAGCAUCAACGAUAUGUUUAGUAAAAGCUUUAUGUUGACUAUAAGCAUGUGGAGAAUUUAGCACGGAUUGCAACAAGGAAAUACAAUCUAUCAAAGAGCAAUUAUCAUAAUUAAAUUUUUUGAAAUCCAAAAUAGUGUGUUCAUUAAUAUCUAGAGUUUUGAUCUCUUCAAUCCCACUUUUACCAAUUUUUGCAUCAAGAUCUAAAGACUCCGAAUUUUUGGAACGCCUUCUAGGUAAAGGUGGAUCAUAUUCAGUCCCAUCAUUAUCAAGAUUCAUAUUGCAAAACAAAGAUUUAAUAGGGGACACAUCAAUAACUUUUAGGUCUUCAUCUUUAUUUUCAUAGAAACUAGAAGAACACGCUUUCACAAAAUCUUUCUUAGCACGCAUCCUAGCGGUUCUUUCUUUGCACUCAUCAAUGGAAAUUCUCAUGGCUUUGAGAGACUCAUUGAUAUCAUGCUUAGGUGGAAUAGAUCUAAGUUUCAAAGAAUCAACAUCAAGAGAAAUUCUAUCAACGUUCCUAGCCAAUUCAUCAACUUUAAGCAAUUUUUCUUCAAGCAAAGCAUUGAAAUUCUUUUGCGAAUUCAUAAACUCCUUAACACUAGUCUCAAAUUCAGAAGGCAUCUUAUUAAAAUUUCCAUAAGAACUGUUGUAGGAAUUACCAUAAUUAUUAGAGGAAUUACUAGGAUACUGCCUAGGAUUAGAGUUUCCUCUAUACGCGUUGUUACCAAAAUUAUUCCUACAAAAAAAAUUCACAUCCAUAGAUUCAUUAUUAUUCUCAAUCAAGGUAGACAAAGGCAUAUCAUUAGGAUAAGAAGAAACACUUUUAUUAGCAAAUAAUUUCAUAAGUUCAUCCAUCUUUCCACUCAAAACAUUAAUUUCUUCUAUCGCCUGCACUUUUUUAUUAGUGGAUCUUUCGGUGUGCCAUUAAGAAUAAUUAACCAUAAUAUUAUCUAGGAGUUUAAUAGCUUCUCCUAAAGUGAUUUCCAUAAAAGUGCCUCCCGCGGCCGAAUCUAAAAAAUUUCGAGAAGCAAAAUUCAAUCCGGCAUAAAAAAAUUGUAUAAUCAUCCACAAAUUCAAACCAUGUGUAGGGCAAUUACGUAUCAUUAAUUUCAUCCUCUCCCAAGCUUGUGCAACAUGUUCAUGAUCAAGUUGCUUAAAUUCAUAAUAUCGUUUCUAAGAGAGAUGAUCUUAGCGGGAGGAAAAUACUUAGAGAUAAAAGCAUCUUUACACUUAUUCCAAGAAUCAAUACUAUUUUUAGGCAAAGACGAAAACCAAGCUUUAGCACGACCUCUAAGCGAAAAAGGAAAUAUCUUCAAUUUAACAAUAUCAUUGUCCACAUCUUUCUUCUUUUGCAUAUCACACAAAUCAACGAAGCUAUUUAGAUGGGUAGCGGCAUCUUCACUAGGAAGGCCGGCGAAUUGAUCUUUCAUGACAAGAUUCAACAAAGCGGCAUUAAUUUCACAAGAUUCAGUAUCGGUAAGAGUAGCAAUCGGAGUGCUAAGAAAAUCAUUGUUGUUGGUAUUGGUAAAGUCACACAAUUUGGUAUUAUCUUAAGCCAUCGUGACAAGCAAGCAAUCCAACACACGAGCAAACAAGAAGCAAGGGAAAAAAGAGGCGAACGGAAAAGAGAGGGCGAAUAAAACGGUAAGGGUGAAGUGGGGGAGAGGAAAACGAGAGGCAAAUGGCAAAUAAUGUAAUGCGGGAGAUAAGGGUUUGUGAUGGGUACUUGGUAUGUUGACUUUUGCGUAGACUCCCCGGCAACGGCGCCAGAAAUCCUUCUUGCUACCUCUUGAGCACUGCGUUGGUUUUCUCUUGAAGAGGAAAGGGUGAUGCAGUAAAGUAGCAUAAGUAUUUCCCUCAGUUUUUGAGAACCAAGGUAUCAAUCCAGUAGGAGGCCACGCACGAGUCCCUCGCACCUACACAAACAAAUAAAUCCUCGCAACCAACACAAUAAAAGGGUUGUCAAUCCCUUCACGGUCACUUACGAGAGUGAGAUCUGAUAGAUAUGAUAAGAUAAUAUUUUUGGUAUUUUUAUGAUAAAGAUGCAAAGUAAAGAAAGCAAAAUAAAAACGGCGACAGAAAUAGCUUGUUGUUGGGAGAUUAAAUAUGAUGAAAAAUAGACCCGGGGGCCAUAGGUUUCACUAGUGGCUUCUCUCGAGAGCAUAAGUAUUACGAUGGGUAAACAAAUUACUGUUGAGCAAUUGACAGAACUGAGCAUAGUUAUGAGAUCUAGGUAUGAUCAUGUAUAUAGGCAUCACGUCCGUGACAAGUAGACCGACUCCUGCCUGCAUCUACUGCUAUUACUCCACACAUCGACCGCUAUCCAGUAUGCAUCUAGAGUAUUAAGUUCAAAAGAACAGAGUAACGCCUUAAGUAAGAUGACAUGAUGUAAAGGGAUAAACUCAUGCAAUAUGACAUAAACCCCAUCUUGUUAUCCUCGAUGGCAACAAUACAAUACGUGCCUUGCUGCCCCUACUGUCACUGGGAAAGGACACCGCAAGAUUGAACCCAAAGCUAAGCACUUCUCCCAUUGCAAGAAAGAUCAAUCUAGUAGGCCAAACCAAACUGAUAAUUCGAAGAGACUUGCAAAGAUAACCAAUCAUACAUAAAAGAAUUCAGAGAAGAUUCAAAUAUUGUUCAUAGAUAAACUUGAUCAUAAACCCACAAUUCAUCGGUCUCAACAAACACACCGCAAAAGAAGAUUACAUUGAAUAGAUCUCCACAAGAGAGGGGGAGAACAUUGUAUUGAGAUCCAAAAAGAGAGAAGAAGCCAUCUAGCUAAUAACUAUGGACCCAAAGGUCCGAGGUAAACUACUCACACAUCAUCGGAGAGGCUAUGGUGUUGAUGUAGAAGCCCUCCGUGAUCGAUGCCCCCUCCGGUGGAGCUCCGAAAAAGGUCCCAAGAUGGGAUCUCACGGGUACAGAAGGUUGCGGCGAUGGAAUUAAGUUUUUUGCUCCGUAUCUGGUAGUUUGGGGGUACGUAGGUAUAUAUAGGAGGAAGAAGUAUGUCGGUGGAGUAACGUGGGGCCCACGAGGGUGGAGGGCGCGCCUCCCUACCUCGUGCCUUCCUGGUUGAUGUCUUGACGUAUGGUCCAAGUCCUCUGGAUCACGUUCGUUCCAAAAAUCACGUCCCAAAGGUUUCAUUCCGUUUGGACUCCGUUUGAUAUUCUUUUUCUGCGAAACUCUGAAAUAGUCAAAAAACAGCAAUUCUAGGCUGGGCCUCCGGUUAAUAGGUUAGUCCCAAAAAUAGUAUAGAAGUGUAUAAUAAAGCUCAUUAAUGUCCAAAACAGAAUAUAAUAUAGCAUUGAACAAUCAAAAAUUAUAGAUACGUUGGAGACGUAUCAGUGAGGCGCUCGGUGAUCUGGCCGGAGAGGUUGAGUUGGAGGAGCCAGAGGAGGCCAUGGUGGGAGGUUUCUGGCAAUGGAGAAACUAGAUGAGAUAAAAGAGGUAGGCUCUGAUUACCAUGUGAGAGAACGUCAUACCCUGCCUAGGGCGACGGCUUCGUGUUAUAUAGGGUCGGGGCGCAACUCCCGCACAACGUACAGAGGUUGAUUACAUCGUUGGGAUCCUGACUUGAGACCCAAGGGAUAGACUAGAGAGAUAGAGAUAGUUACAAUAGAUAAGAGAGAAUCACAACUACCCUAGUCUACAGCUUCGGUUGACGUGGACUCUUGGUCGAACCCAUGCGUCAACUCUGUCGUGGUAGAUACAUUGCUUAACAAAGGCAACACCUGACCGGACUUUCUAGAUUAACAGAAUAGAGAACGUGUACUUUUUAUUAGGGGGAUAAUCGGAUAAAGCAUAUAGUAUCUGCAAACGACUUGGUGUAUAGGGUGAGCAGUAUAUUCUUCUUUCCAAGUAUUGCUCAUCCACAACAGCCAUCAUGCUUUUCUUUAAAAUGGUUCCAGCUUUUCACCUCAUUAAACAAAAUCUUCCUCGACAUACAUCCAGCCAUCAUGACAGCUUCAAUAUAAAUUAUCUGAUAGAUCCAUGGGAUCGUGUAGGGUAGGAUUAGAUCCGGUGAACCUACCUUCUGCUUGUCCAGUCGAGGAACUCCCGGUGCCGGCCAUGGUGACGGUGGCCGGUGAUGGCAGAGAGUGGGCGAGGUGGUGGAGCUUCCCGUGAGCACCGCGCUAACCCUAGAUCGAUAGGGAUUGUAGGUGGGGAUUGUGGCAGCGAUUAACCUCGUGAGUCGUGCCCCGACCCCACCUCUGUUUAUAUAGCGCGGGUCACAAGGGCCCACCAACCAUGGUUUGGUUGGGCGCCCCCGAUCAGAGCGCGAGUCAGGGGCCCGUUCGACCCGUUGGGUUCGAACGGGAGAGAGGUCAACCUAAACAUUAUCUAGUUAGAACAAGACUCGAGGAUCUACUCCCUCCUUUUCUAAAUAUAAG